GGCCAAGUGGCGGAAUUGGCAGACGCGACGGACUCAAAAUCCGUUUUCCUUGACCGGAAGUGAGGGUUCGAGUCCCUCCUUGGCCA
Molecule: transfer RNA, 86 nt
Filed under: Isosphaera pallida ATCC 43644
Lineage: Bacteria; Pseudomonadati; Planctomycetota; Planctomycetia; Isosphaerales; Isosphaeraceae
Description: tRNA-Leu (CAA) (tRNA-Leu-CAA-1-1)
Rfam family: tRNA
About the family: Transfer RNA (tRNA) molecules are approximately 80 nucleotides in length. Their secondary structure includes four short double-helical elements and three loops (D, anti-codon, and T loops).
Source: Rfam by way of RNAcentral